ACAGAGGGGGCAAGCGUUAUUCGGAAUUAUUGGGCGUAAAGGGUGCGUAGGCGGUUUCUUAAGUGAGAUGUGUAAUCCCCGGGCUUAACCUGGGAACUGCAUCUCAUACUGGGAGGCUAGAGUACUGGAGAGGGUGGUAGAAUUCCACGUGUAGCGGUGAAAUGCGUAGAGAUGUGGAGGAAUACCAGUGGCGAAGGCGGCCACCUGGACAGUAACUGACGCUGAGGCGCGAAAGUGUGGGGAGCAAACAG
Molecule: ribosomal RNA, 251 nt
Filed under: uncultured prokaryote
Description: partial 16S rRNA
Rfam family: Bacterial small subunit ribosomal RNA
Source: RNAcentral